This 1164-nucleotide ribosomal RNA is filed under the name Dolichospermum lemmermannii NIVA-CYA 270/1. Its description in RNAcentral is "bacterial SSU rRNA". It matches the Rfam family "Bacterial small subunit ribosomal RNA", at positions 106 to 1304 of the family's 1533-position model. Lineage: Bacteria; Bacillati; Cyanobacteriota; Cyanophyceae; Nostocales; Aphanizomenonaceae. The record is from RNAcentral.
GUGAGUAACGCGUAAGAAUCUACCUUCAGGUUGGGGACAACCACUGGAAACGGUGGCUAAUACCGAAUGUGCCGAGAGGUGAAAGGCUUGCUGCCUGAAGAAGAGCUUGCGUCUGAUUAGCUAGUUGGUGGGGUAAAGGCUCACCAAGGCGACGAUCAGUAGCUGGUCUGAGAGGAUGAUCAGCCACACUGGGACUGAGACACGGCCCAGACUCCUACGGGAGGCAGCAGUGGGGAAUUUUCCGCAAUGGGCGAAAGCCUGACGGAGCAAUACCGCGUGAGGGAGGAAGGCUCUUGGGUUGUAAACCUCUUUUCUCAGGGAAGAAAAAAAUGACGGUACCUGAGGAAUAAGCAUCGGCUAACUCCGUGCCAGCAGCCGCGGUAAUACGGAGGAUGCAAGCGUUAUCCGGAAUGAUUGGGCGUAAAGGGUCCGCAGGUGGCAUUGUUUGUCUGCUGUUAAAGAGUCUGGCUCAACCAGAUCAAAGCAGUGGAAACUACAAAGCUAGAGUAUGGUCGGGGCAGAGGGAAUUCCUGGUGUAGCGGUGAAAUGCGUAGAUAUCAGGAAGAACACCGGUGGCGAAGGCGCUCUGCUAGGCCAAAACUGACACUGAGGGACGAAAGCUAGGGGAGCGAAUGGGAUUAGAUACCCCAGUAGUCCUAGCCGUAAACGAUGGAUACUAGGCGUAGCUCGUAUCGACCCGAGCUGUGCCGUAGCUAACGCGUUAAGUAUCCCGCCUGGGGAGUACGCAGGCAACUGUGAAACUCAAAGGAAUUGACGGGGGCCCGCACAAGCGGUGGAGUAUGUGGUUUAAUUCGAUGCAACGCGAAGAACCUUACCAAGACUUGACAUGUCACGAAUUCUGUUGAAAGAUGGAAGUGCCUUAGGGAGCGUGAACACAGGUGGUGCAUGGCUGUCGUCAGCUCGUGUCGUGAGAUGCUGGGUUAAGUCCCGCAACGAGCGCAACCCUCGUUUUUAGUUGCCAGCAUUAAGUUGGGCACUCUAGAGAGACUGCCGGUGACAAACCGGAGGAAGGUGGGGAUGACGUCAAGUCAGCAUGCCCCUUACGUCUUGGGCUACACACGUACUACAAUGCUCCGGACAAAGGGCAGCUACACAGCGAUGUGAUGCGAAUCUCAUAAACCGGAGCUCAGUUCAGAUCGAAGG